This 525-nucleotide ribosomal RNA is filed under the name uncultured bacterium. Its description in RNAcentral is "bacterial SSU rRNA". It matches the Rfam family "Bacterial small subunit ribosomal RNA", at positions 8 to 526 of the family's 1533-position model. The record is from RNAcentral.
AGAGUUUGAUCCUGGCUCAGAUUGAACGCUGGCGGCAUGCUUUACACAUGCAAGUCGAGCGGCGGCGCGGGGGCAACCCUGGCGGCGAGCGGCGAACGGGUGAGUAAUGCAUCGGAACGUGUCCCGGAGUGGGGGAUAACCCGGCGAAAGCCGGGCUAAUACCGCAUAUGCUCUGAGGAGGAAAGCGGGGGACUCGCAAGGGCCUCGCGCUCGGGGAGCGGCCGAUGUCCGAUUAGCUAGUUGGUGAGGUAAUGGCUCACCAAGGCGACGAUCGGUAGCUGGUCUGAGAGGAUGAUCAGCCACACUGGGACUGAGACACGGCCCAGACUCCUACGGGAGGCAGCAGUGGGGAAUUUUGGACAAUGGGGGCAACCCUGAUCCAGCCAUGCCGCGUGCGGGAAGAAGGCCUUCGGGUUGUAAACCGCUUUUGGCCGGGAAGAAAAGGCGCAGGUUAAUACCUUGCGUUUUUGACGGUACCGGCAGAAUCAGCACCGGCUAACUACGUGCCAGCAGCCGCGGUAAUAC